GUGUCAGCAGCCGCGGUAAUACGUAGGUGGCAAGCGUUGUCCGGAAUUAUUGGGCGUAAAGGGCGUGUAGGUGGAUGAUUAAGUCUUGUGUCUAAGUGCGGAGCUCAACUCCGUAUGGGCGCGGGAAACUGGUUAUCUUGAGUGCAGGAGAGGAAAGUGGAAUUCCCAGUGUAGCGGUGAAAUGCGUAGAUAUUGGGAGGAACACCAGUGGCGAAGGCGACUUUCUGGACUGUGUC
Molecule: ribosomal RNA, 236 nt
Filed under: uncultured bacterium
Lineage: Bacteria
Description: partial 16S rRNA
Rfam family: Bacterial small subunit ribosomal RNA
Source: RNAcentral